This is a non-coding RNA of Chiloscyllium plagiosum (whitespotted bambooshark), 676 nucleotides long. The record is from RefSeq and is a predicted model, not a curated record. NCBI's taxonomy places the organism in Eukaryota, Metazoa, Chordata, Chondrichthyes, Orectolobiformes, Hemiscylliidae.
ACUGGUAGCUGCCAUACAGAAUAAUACCAAGACAAACCAGUAGGAGAAACAUGGUGUUAACAGUUUGUAAAAUAGCGAUAGUUAUAUUUUGAAAACAAAAAAUGCUGGAGAUCACAGCGGGUCAGGCAGCAUCCAUGGAAAGAAAGCAACAUUUCGAGUCGAGAUGACUCUUCAUGGUUAUAUAUUGAUCAGUCCCUGCAAGUUUCAAGUUCCAUAAAUCUCACAGACUCUAAAACUGUAUUUUGGACUGAUCUUCAAGUUAUCAAUCCUUCCGAUUGUCAGGAGACUGUGCCAGAAUUCUCAAUAACCAGGAAGAAUCAACUAUCAACACCUUUGAACACAUUUCCAUCAGAACUGACUUUGAAUCCAUGUCUCAAGAAGAGAAAAGAAUAGAACAAAGUUGUUCAACACUGGAUUUUGCCUGAUCCUCACCUGAAACCAGUGCAAAACUUAACCAGGUUCCACAAGCACAGUAUUCACCAAAAAUGACAUCCAUUUGUAGAACCUUCUCAACUCUGCUUCCAAAACUCUGGAUGGCAUAGAUCCACCAAUGUUAUCUUAAAGUAAUUGGUUACAUCACCUGUAUAUUUGCUUAUAUUAAAAUUGGAUUGAAUUGAAUUUAUUGUCACAUAUACCAAGGCACAGUGCAGUGAAAAGCUUUGCCUUGUGAGUGCAA